Molecule: long non-coding RNA, 4676 nt
Organism: Papaver somniferum (opium poppy)
Lineage: Eukaryota; Viridiplantae; Streptophyta; Magnoliopsida; Ranunculales; Papaveraceae
Exons: 2
Source: RefSeq, a predicted model, not a curated record
GUCUCUUUAAUCAAUCAAUUCUGAUUUCCUACAUGGUAUCAGAUACAAUUGGAUCCUAACAAAACCUACAAACCCUAGAAUCAUCAUCCACCACCAUUAAUGGUGAGAAAAACCUUGAAUUCAUAUAUCAACAAAACCAACACCAAUACAACCAACUCAUCAACCAAUACAAAUCAACCUUCUACUUCAUUAUCAAUUCAACCCUCAUAUUCGAUGACGAAUCAAUCGAUCUUUCCACCAGUACAACAAUCUCUGCAAUCUCAAUCUUCACCUGUUCUUCCGCAAGCGAAACCUAAUCAACCACCAUCACCACCACCACCGCAGUAUCAACAUCAAAAUUUCUAUAAUUUUUCUCAAUCAAAUUUCAGGGUAAAUCCUUUACCUUUUCCUAAUAUUUCUAAUUUUGUUUGUAAUAAGUUGGAUGGAUCAAAUUUCUUGGUGUGGAAAUAUCAACUCUCCUCUAUUUUGAUCAGUACAAAUUUGUUUGGAUUUGUUGAUGGUUCUAUUCCUACUGAAUCUCCAUUCUUGAUGCACAACAACAUCCCGGUGAAUAAUCCUGUCUUUGCUUAAUGGAGAUCUUUAGAUCAUUUUGUUGGUUCUUGUAUCAAUGCCACGGUUAUCCCUUCUCUUUCUACUGAGUUACUUGGUAAACAUUCUUCCAGAGAAAAAUGGAUUCAUCUUGAUAAGAUUAUCAGUGAGCAAUUAUUUGCAAGAAAAAAUAUGUUGAGAUCUCAGCUACAUUCAAUCCGACGAGGUAAUUCUACAAUUUUUGAGUUUCUACAACAUAUUAAGUCAAUUUCUGAUUCGCUAGCUGAAAUUGGUGAAUCAGUACCAGAUUCGGAUCUUGUUAUGUAUGUUUUAUCUGGUUUAGGUCGUGACUAUUCUCGGUUUGUGAUUACUAUGCAAAAUCGAGAAAUACCUCUUUCCUUCUCAGAACUCCGAUGUAGAUUAGUUACUCAUGAACAAUGGAUUAAAGAUCAAGAUGAUGACUCAAAUAGUUUCUUUGCUAAAGAUCCAAUAACUUCUGCUUUUUAUGUUAAGAAGCAUCACUCCUAUGAUUCUUCUUCAAAGAAGCCUGUUAAUGGUUCAUAUUCUCCCAAGUUCAGUCAAGGAGCUUCAAGUUCUAAUUUUACAUACAAGAAGGGGGAAUUCAAUCCAACAAUCAAUCAAGAACAGGAUUAUAAUUCAAUUCCUUGUCAGAUAUGGAAUCAACUAGGUCAUUUUGCUUCUAGAUAUCGAUAUCGAUAUGCUGCUGUAGGGAUACCUCCUUCUCGGUCUCCAACAAGAAGAUCUUCACCUUGACAAUAUACUCCUUCUGUGCAAAAGGCAUUUGCAGGCAUGUAAGUGUCUUCUUCUUCCAAUCCUUGGCAUCUUACUGAGAAGCAUAAUCUUGCUACUCAAAAUGCUUUCUCCAUUACUGGUGGCCAACGGGGAGUUAGUUCAACUGGUCCUGUCUGGAUACCAGAUUCUGGUGCCACUGGUCAUAUGACCAAUGAUUCUGCAAUUCUCGAAGAUACUGAAGAAUAUGAGGGUGCAGAACAAGUUAUGCUAGGACAUGGUAAGCUUCCUCCAAUUAAUUUAACAUCCUCUAGUAAAAUUCAUACUUCUGGUACUUCCAAUGCAUCAUUUAAUCUGAUAAAUGUGUUAUUUUUUCCUUCCAUCAAAUACAAUCUUUUGUCUAUAGCAAAGUUUACUGCUGACAAUAAUUGUUCAUUUGAAUGUCUACCAUGGGGAUAUAAUAUAAAAUCUCUACAGAAUAAUCAGAUUCUUGCUCAGGGAGUGAUGCAUAAAAACUUAUAUUCAUUGAAUUCUUUUCCUGUUUUACCUGAUUCUCAUCUGGCUGCUUCUGCAUUAAUUCUAGCUACCCAACUACUUAGCAUCACAGGCUUGGUCAUCAUGAUCAAAGAUAAUAAAGAAGUUGGUCACUUCAUCAGCUAUUCAACUAUCCAAUAAUCAGUUUGAGUCAGUCUGUACAUCUUGUCAACUAGGCAAGAGUGUGUGUUUUCCUUUUUCUAGUUCUGAGUCUAUUUCAACAUGUGCUUUAGAUUUAGUGCAUUGUGACAUUUGGGGUGCUUCACCUGUCACUUCUACUCUAGGAUAUAAGUACUACAUUCUCUUUAUGGAUGAUUUUAGUAAGUUCAAUUGGAUAUAUCCUAUGAAGUUGAAAUCAGAUAGUCUUUCUUGUUUUACUUUGUUCAAAAAAUUAAUGGAAAAUUAUUGAAUUCCAAGAUUAAAGAGUUUCAGUGUGAUGGAGCAUUAGAAUUAACAAAAGGAGUGUUCAGAGAAUUUCUUGAUAACAAUGGUAUUUCUAUUAGAAUCUCUUGUCCUCACCUACAUCAGCAGAAUGGAGCUGCUGAAAGGAAGCACGGGCAGAUAACAGAAAUGGGUAACACACUUCUGUUUCAUGCUUCUAUGCCCAAGUAUUUGUGGUUUGAUGCUUUUUUAAGUGCUACAUGUUUGAUCAAUAUAAUUCCUACAAAGCUACUGCAGUAUAAAUGUCCAUUUGAAGUAUUAUUUUCAAAAGCUCCAGAUUAUUCUUUUCUCAAGAUUUUUGGUUGUAUGUGUUUUCCAAACUUGACUCCUUAUAGAAAGGACAAAUUGAGUCCUAAGUCCGCUGUGUGUGUUUUUAUUGGAUAUAGUCCCUUUCAUAAGGGCUACAGAUGCUUUGAUAUUCGGUCUCUCAGAGUAUACACUACAACAAAUGUCAGAUUCAAUGAGCAGGCAUUUCCUUUUGCUUCUCAAAAUAUGUCUACUUUAGACAUCAUUUCUGGUAAUGCUGAUACUUUUUGUUUUCUUCAGCUACAUCUCCUUAGAUAGUGUCUUCACAAGAACAGGUAUUAUCUGAUUCUUCUGCACUUCAUGAUUCAGUUAUUUCUCCAUUAUCAGUUUCUUCUACUUCUGAGCCAAUGCAUACAAAAUCUAAAUCUGGAAUUAGUAAGAGGAAAGGAUUAGAUGAUAAAUGGAUUGCUUGGCUUCAUAGGACUGCUCUUAGACAUCUUAUUCCUAUAGCUUUUACAGCUCUGGUGGAUUCUUUAAUUGAAACUAAAAACUUCAGACAAGCAAUGAAGGAUCCAAGAUAGGUUAGGUCUAUGACAAAUGAACAUGAUGCAUUAGUUAGCAAUGACACUUAUGAAGAAGUUCCUUUUUUGCCUGGUAUGAAUGUUUUGGGAUGUAGAUGGGUCUAUAAGACCAAACUCAAAUCUGAUGGUACACUAGAUAAAUUUAAGUCUAUAUUGGUUGCUCAAGGUUACACUCAGAUUGAUGGAGUGGAUUGUGCUGAGACUUUUAGUCAUGUUGUCAAAUUUGCUACAGCUAGGAUUAUUCUCAGUUUGGCUCUUAGUAAUGGUUGGUUCGUGAGGCAAUUGGAUGUAUCAAAUGCUUUCCUUCAUGGCUAUUUGAAUGAAGAUGUUUACAUGAAACAACCUCCAGGAUUUGUCAAUCAGAUCAUCCAGAUUAUGUGUGCAAAUUAAAAAAAUCUCUCUAUAGUUUAAAACAAGCUCUUAGAAUUUGGUUUGAAAGGUUUAGUAAAUUCAUGCUCAAGAAUGGUUUUCUUCAAUCCAGAAAUGAUAAUUCUAUGUUCUAUUUUGUUGAAGAUGGUUUGAAGAUGGUGCUUCUUGUAUAUGUUGAUGAUAUUAUCUUAGUUGGAGGUUCCAACAAUCAACUUAAUGAUUUCAUUCACAUUCUGAAAGCUGAAUUUUCCAUGAAAGAUUUGGGCACUUUGAGCUACUUUCUUGGAAUUAAAGCUACUUUUACUUCAGAUUCUCAUACUUUGUUUCUCACACAAAAUAAGUAUUCACUGGAGUUGUUGAAAAAAUAUGACAUGCUUGAAUGUAAACCUUGCAAAACACCAGUGGCUCCUGGAAAGAGAGCUUCUUUAUAUGAUGGUACUUUGCUACAAGAUGCUGCUAGUUACAGAUCUUUGGUGGGUGAUCUUCAGUAUCUUACUAUGUCUAGACCUGAUUUAAGUUUUGCAGUCAACUAUAUUUCCCAGUUUAUGCACCAACCUACAGAUGUGCAUCUCCAAUUGGCAAAGAGAAUUUUGAGCAGGCUAUUGUGUGUUUAUGGGACCAAAUUUGGUUGUUUGAUCUUCUAAAAAGCAACCAACCAUCUCCAGAUCAAGUACUGAAGCUGAGUACAAGGCUUUAGCUCUUACUGCCACUGAAGUUCAACGGGUUUCUUAUGUUCUACAAGAAUUGGGUUUUCAUGUUUCUACUCCUUCUAUUCUUUAUUGUGAAAAUUUGGGUGCUGCGAGUCUUGCUGCCAACCUAGUAUUUCACGCCAGAACUAAGCACAUUGAAAUUGACUUUCAUACUAUUCGAGACUUGAUGGCUAUAGGAUUUGUGCAGACUCGUUAUGUUCCUACUCUACAUAAAAUUGCUGAUCCGUUUACUAAAGGCUUACCAAAGGAGCUCUUCUUCAGGCUACAUAGACAAGUAAUGCACUAUGUCAGUGUUUAGCUUUCAUCACAGUAGUACAUCAUUUGAGGGGGACUGUUAGAGACAGUUAGUUUGUUAUGUUAGUGUAACGUGUUCUGUUAUGAUUGGUCACACGUGUACUACAGUGACUGGUCCUUUUCUAUGCUUAGCUGUAUGUUAGGUGUCUGUAUUAGCUAUGUCUUUAUAUACUGUGUCUGUAAUGUCCUUGUCUCUUUAAUCAAUCAACUCUGAUUUCCUACA